ACCAAAGCAUCCGCCGCACGAUUAUUCUUUCCAUACUUUUGGGUUGAUUAGAUAUAUUACAAACUUAUAGCAUACGAGAGUCUUUUUUCUUUUGAACUCACUUGUCUAGGUUUAACUUUGAAAUGAGCUAUAAAUUGAAAUGAAAUGAGUUAUAAAUUGAAAUACAAUAAAAUUUAAACAUAGAGUUUGCACACGAGAUUUUAGAUUUGAUACCGAAUUAGAGAAAUUAUUGAGCACCCCGACACCUAAGCAGCCAAAAACAGCCAAACGAAGCCGUGAUCUUCGCGUAUCCGCCGCCACGACUUGCGAAACUGUCGGAAUUUCAGACCCGCCAUCACCUGAGUUUCGCUCCUCACGACAGCCCUUUCAAAAUCCGACCGCAACCACUGCCCAGAAACCGCCACAGUUGCCGGGACCAGCCAGCAAAUUUGCGCGGGUCGUGGAUCUCGAUCCGUCACAUCUAGCCGCGCAUUAGCGCACACCGCUGCCACCACUGGACUCAACGUGGACUGAAGCUUUAACCUUGAUCACAGCCACUUGAUGUCCAGCUACCAUGGUAGGCGAGGGUCCAUGCUCUUGGGCCUCGAUCUUAUUAUACGUAUCUUGACUUCAUAUUCUUGAGCCUCGUCGUAAUACGAAUCUUAGCUCCAUACUCUUGCCUCUCGAUCUCAUUACUGCUGAAACAAAAACAAAUUUUAUACCCUUAAUCGUGCAUUUCCAAAUAAACAUAUACUUUAGGAAAUUUCGAAAUUUACCAUGAUCUCCCAUGAAUCCGACCUUGGAAGCUUGUUAUAAAGCCUCAACCGAGUUGCUACAGCUUUGAUCUAGCUUCUGAAUUCCCGCUUCCUUUUCCUUAGCUCAAGAUCCGGCUUCUCUCAGCAAUUUACUGUGCACACACACGGGAGACAGUGGUUGAGCGCAGGGACCCCUCAUGUGUUAGUACAAAAUUGUCCAUCCCAUUAUGAGUUAAAAUAACACAAUUAAGGAUUAUACUUGUCCAUAAUAUGCUAAUGUAUAGGG
This 1020-nucleotide long non-coding RNA is filed under the name Citrus sinensis (sweet orange). RNAcentral describes it as "long non-coding RNA (CSIN_LNC003937)". Lineage: Eukaryota; Viridiplantae; Streptophyta; Magnoliopsida; Sapindales; Rutaceae. The record is from RNAcentral.